Long non-coding RNA from Zea mays, 718 nucleotides. RefSeq lists it as uncharacterized. The record is from RefSeq and is a predicted model, not a curated record. Lineage: Eukaryota; Viridiplantae; Streptophyta; Magnoliopsida; Poales; Poaceae. The transcript is spliced from 2 exons.
UCAUGGCUUCGGUUCUUGUGUGUUUUGUUUCCUUUUUUAGAGUUCUUUUUCGGUGUUUUUUGGAUAGAUUGUGCUCUUUAACCUAUGACACUCGCAACUGAACGGUUCCAUAUACUUUCAGCAUCGGCGGUGUGCUCUUUGCAAAGCCUUGGAGAUGCCUCUCCUGCAAAGUCUGAACUUGCAGAGAUAGUCCCACAAGAGAAAUCACUAAAAGGUAAUGCUUCAUUUUUCAGGUCAUCAUCCUUCUUGCCAUUUCUCCCCCGUUCAUUUUUCAAUGGAUGUGGCUCAGUAUGCACGUGUUCCAUUGUGAUUUUGUUGUUCCAUAGCUUCCAUUCAACCAAUGCCACCGAGUCCAAGGUAUUCUACCUCAAGAUGAAGGGCGACUACCACAGGGCAGGCAGAGAGCCUUGGAACCGAACUCUUGGAGAUGGUGCCUAGCAGGGAAGAGGAGAUUAAGUUGAAAGAAUACAGGGAGGAUACUGUGUCGACUUUUGUAGUUGAUGAUUAUGUGAGACUUUAGUUUAAGGGCUCAACUUUUACCAGUUCUUGGAAGUCAUUUAGUAGCCCUAAGAUUUCAUCAACAUUCUUAGUAGUAAUUGCUAUAGUAUCAAAUGGGAUUGUGGUACGAGUUGCUCGAGUACUAAGUACUAACGUUGUUGUACAUUGUGAAGCUAAGUGGGUAAUAUCAAAAGGGAUUAAGAUUUAUGUGUGGUGCUUA